RNAcentral lists this ribosomal RNA (253 nucleotides) under uncultured bacterium. RNAcentral's name for it is "partial 16S ribosomal RNA". It matches the Rfam family "Bacterial small subunit ribosomal RNA", at positions 524 to 776 of the family's 1533-position model. The record is from RNAcentral.
UACGGAGGAUCCAAGCGUUAUCCGGAAUCAUUGGGUUUAAAGGGUCCGUAGGCGGUUUGGUAAGUCAGUGGUGAAAGCCCAUCGCUCAACGGUGGAACGGCCAUUGAUACUGCCAGACUUGAAUUAUUAGGAAGUAACUAGAAUAUGUAGUGUAGCGGUGAAAUGCUUAGAGAUUACAUGGAAUACCAAUUGCGAAGGCAGGUUACUACUAAUGAUUGACGCUGAUGGACGAAAAGCGUGGGUAGCGAACAGG